CAAUAGCGUAUAUUAAAGUUGUUGCGGUAAAAAAGCUCGUAGUUGGAUUUCUACCGAAGAUAGCCGGUCGGGUCUUCGACCUUGUAUCUGGUUUUGUCUUUGGUAUCCUCAUAGGGAACGUUUCUGCGCUUUAUUGCGUGGUGCGGUAUCUAUGACUUUUACUUUGAGGAAAUUAGAGUGUUCACGGCAGGCAAACGCCUUGAAUAUAUUAGUAUGGAAUAAUAACAUAGGAUCUUCGUCCUAUUUUGUUGGUUUCUAGGGCUAAGAUAAUGAUUAAUAGGGAUAAUUGGGGGCAUCUGUAUCAACGCGUCAGAGGUGGAAUUCUUGGAUUGCGUUGCGACAAACUACUGCGAAAGCAUUUGCCAAGGAUGUUUUCAUUGA
Molecule: ribosomal RNA, 381 nt
Filed under: uncultured eukaryote
Lineage: Eukaryota
Description: partial 18S ribosomal RNA
Rfam family: Eukaryotic small subunit ribosomal RNA
Source: RNAcentral